UAACGAAUAUUCCGCAAUGGGCGAAAGCCUGACGGAGCAAUGCCGCGUGUGGGAUGAAGCGGUUUCGCCGUGUAAACCACUGUCAGGGGAUAGAAAAGAUGAUCAUCUCCAGAGGAAGGGGCGACUAACUCUGUGCCAGCAGUCGCGGUAAGACAGAGGCCCCGAGCGUUAGUCGGAAUUACUGGGCUUAAAGGGUGCGUAGGCGGACGCGUAAGUGUCUGGUGAAAGCCCCGGGCUCAACCCGGGAACCGCCGGGCAUACUGCGCGCCUUGAGGUAGCUAGAGGCCGGUGGAACGAUCGGUGGAGCGGUGGAAUGCGUAGAGAUCGAUCGGAACGCCAAGGGUGAAGACAACCGGCUGGGGCUUACCUGACGCUGAGGCACGAAAGCGUGGGGAUCAAACAGGAUUAGAUACCCCCGUAGUCC
This 424-nucleotide ribosomal RNA is filed under the name uncultured bacterium. RNAcentral describes it as "bacterial SSU rRNA". It matches the Rfam family "Bacterial small subunit ribosomal RNA", at positions 355 to 796 of the family's 1533-position model. The record is from RNAcentral.